ACGAACGCUGGCGGCGUGCUUAACACAUGCAAGUCGAACGGAAAGGCCCUGCUUUUGUGGGGUGCUCGAGUGGCGAACGGGUGAGUAACACGUGAGUAACCUGCCCUUGACUUUGGGAUAACUUCAGGAAACUGGGGCUAAUACCGGAUAGGAGCUCCUGCUGCAUGGUGGGGGUUGGAAAGUUUCGGCGGUUGGGGAUGGACUCGCGGCUUAUCAGCUUGUUGGUGGGGUAGUGGCUUACCAAGGCUUUGACGGGUAGCCGGCCUGAGAGGGUGACCGGGCAAAAGGGGAAUGAGAUACGGCCCAGACUCCUAAGGGAGGCAGCAGGGGGGAAUAUUGAAAAAUGGGCGGAAGCCGGAAGCAGCAACGCCGCGGGCGGGAAGAAGGCCUUUGGGUUGUAAAACGCUUUUGGCUGUGACGAAGCGGGAGUGACGGUAAAGGGUAAAGAAGCAACGGCUAAAUAAGUG
Molecule: ribosomal RNA, 467 nt
Filed under: uncultured bacterium
Lineage: Bacteria
Description: partial 16S ribosomal RNA
Rfam family: Bacterial small subunit ribosomal RNA
Source: RNAcentral